GCCGGGCGCGGUGGCCCAUGCCUGUCAUCCCAGCAGCUCCGGAGGCUGAGGCAGGAGGAUCGUGAGUUCAAAGCCAGCCUCAG
Molecule: small RNA, 83 nt
Filed under: Marmota monax (woodchuck)
Lineage: Eukaryota; Metazoa; Chordata; Mammalia; Rodentia; Sciuridae
Source: RNAcentral